AGAGUUUGAUCCUGGCUCAGGAUGAACGCUAGCGGCAGGCUUAACACAUGCAAGUCGAGGGGUAUAGGUUUUCGGACCUAGAGACCGGCGCACGGGUGCGUAACGCGUAUGCAAUCUACCUUUCACAAAGGGAUAGCCCAGAGAAAUUUGGAUUAAUACCUUAUAGUAAUACGACUUGGCAUCAAGAUGUAUUUAAAGAUUUAUCGGUGAAAGAUGAGCAUGCGUCCCAUUAGCUUGUUGGUAAGGUAACGGCUUACCAAGGCAACGAUGGGUAGGGGUCCUGAGAGGGAGAUCCCCCACACUGGUACUGAGACACGGACCAGACUCCUACGGGAGGCAGCAGUGAGGAAUAUUGGACAAUGGGCGCAAGCCUGAUCCAGCCAUGCCGCGUGCAGGAUGACGGUCCUAUGGAUUGUAAACUGCUUUUGUACAGGAAGAAACCCUUUCACGUGUGGAAGAUUGACGGUACUGUAAGAAUAAGGAUCGGCUAACUCCGUGCCAGCAGCCGCGGUAAUACGGAGGAUCCAAGCGUUAUCCGGAAUCAUUGGGUUUAAAGGGUCCGUAGGCGGUCAAGUAAGUCAGUGGUGAAAGCCCAUCGCUCAACGGUGGAACGGCCAUUGAUACUGCUUGACUUGAAUUAUUAGGAAGUAACUAGAAUAUGUAGUGUAGCGGUGAAAUGCUUAGAGAUUACAUGGAAUACCAAUUGCGAAGGCAGGUUACUACUAAUGGAUUGACGCUGAUGGACGAAAGCGUGGGUAGCGAACAGGAUUAGAUACCCUGGUAGUCCACGCCGUAAACGAUGGAUACUAGCUGUUGGGAGCAAUCUCAGUGGCUAAGCGAAAGUGAUAAGUAUCCCACCUGGGGAGUACGUUCGCAAGAAUGAAACUCAAAGGAAUUGACGG
Molecule: ribosomal RNA, 902 nt
Filed under: uncultured bacterium
Lineage: Bacteria
Description: bacterial SSU rRNA
Rfam family: Bacterial small subunit ribosomal RNA
Source: RNAcentral